Molecule: ribosomal RNA, 432 nt
Filed under: uncultured Dermacoccus sp.
Lineage: Bacteria; Bacillati; Actinomycetota; Actinomycetes; Micrococcales; Dermacoccaceae
Description: bacterial SSU rRNA
Rfam family: Bacterial small subunit ribosomal RNA
Source: RNAcentral
AACGCGAAGAACCUUACCAAGGCUUGACAUACACCGGAAUCAUGCAGAGAUGUGUGCGUCUUCGGACUGGUGUACAGGUGGUGCAUGGUUGUCGUCAGCUCGUGUCGUGAGAUGUUGGGUUAAGUCCCGCAACGAGCGCAACCCUCGUUCCAUGUUGCCAGCACUUCGGGUGGGGACUCAUGGGAGACUGCCGGGGUCAACUCGGAGGAAGGUGGGGAUGACGUCAAAUCAUCAUGCCCCUUAUGUCUUGGGCUUCACGCAUGCUACAAUGGCCGGUACAGAGGGUUGCGAAACCGUGAGGUGGAGCUAAUCCCAAAAAACCGGUCUCAGUUCGGAUUGGGGUCUGCAACUCGACCCCAUGAAGUCGGAGUCGCUAGUAAUCGCAGAUCAGCAACGCUGCGGUGAAUACGUUCCCGGGUCUUGUACACACCG